RNAcentral lists this ribosomal RNA (254 nucleotides) under uncultured Methanoculleus sp. RNAcentral's name for it is "partial 16S ribosomal RNA". It matches the Rfam family "Archaeal small subunit ribosomal RNA", at positions 1085 to 1338 of the family's 1478-position model. Lineage: Archaea; Methanobacteriati; Methanobacteriota; Methanomicrobia; Methanomicrobiales; Methanomicrobiaceae. The record is from RNAcentral.
UGGUGGGGACACUGUUGGGACCGCCUCUGCUAAAGAGGAGGAAGGAAUGGGCAACGGUAGGUCAGCAUGCCCCGAAUUAUCCGGGCUACACGCGGGCUACAAUGGUCAGGACAAUGGGCAUCAACACCGAAAGGUGAAGGCAAUCUCCUAAACCUGUCCUUAGUUCGGAUUGUGGGCUGCAACUCGCCCACAUGAAGCUGGAAUCCGUAGUAAUCGCGUUUCAAAAUAGCGCGGUGAAUAUGUCCCUGCUCCUU